AGAGUUUGAUCCUGGCUCAGAAUGAACGCUGGCGGCAUGCCUAACACAUGCAAGUCGAACGAGAAAAUCCUGCUUCGGCGGGAUGAGUAAAGUGGCGCACGGGUGAGUAACGCGUGGGUAACCUGCCCUUGAAUCUGGGAUAACUUCGCGAAAGCGAAGCUAAUACCGGAUACUGUCCCCAAGGCUGUGGUCCUGGGGAUGAAAGGUGACCUCUUCAUGAAAGUUGCCGUUCAGGGAGGGGCUCGCGUACCAUUAGCUUGUUGGCGGGGUAAUAGCCCACCAAGGCGACGAUGGUUAGCUGGUCUGAGAGGAUGAUCAGCCACACUGGAACUGAAACACGGUCCAGACUCCUACGGGAGGCAGCAGUGAGGAAUUUUGCGCAAUGGGGGAAACCCUGACGCAGCAACGCCGCGUGAGUGAAGAAGGCUUUCGGGUCGUAAAGCUCUGUCAAAUGGGAAAAAAAUCUAUCGAUGAAUAGUCGAUAGGCUUGAUGGUACCAUUAGAGGAAGCACCGGCUAACUCCGUGCCAGCAGCCGCGGUAAUACGGAGGGUGCGAGCGUUGUUCGGAAUUAUUGGGCGUAAAGAGCGUGUAGGCGGUUUGGUAAGUCGGAUGUGAAAGCCCUGGGCUCAACCCAGGAAGUGCGUUUGAUACUGCCAUUCUUGAGUAUGGGAGAGGAGAGUGGAAUUCCCAGUGUAGAGGUGAAAUUCGUAGAUAUUGGGAGGAACACCCGUGGCGAAGGCGACUCUCUGGACCAAUACUGACGCUGAGACGCGAAAGCGUGGGGGAGCAAACAGGAUUAGAUACCCUGGUAGUCCCACGCCGUAAACGAUAGAACUAGGUGUAGCGGGUAUUUGACCCUGCUGUGCCGGAGCUAACGCAUUAAGUUCUCCGCCUGGGGAGUACGGCCGCA
This 911-nucleotide ribosomal RNA is filed under the name uncultured bacterium. RNAcentral's name for it is "bacterial SSU rRNA". It matches the Rfam family "Bacterial small subunit ribosomal RNA", at positions 8 to 890 of the family's 1533-position model. The record is from RNAcentral.